This 467-nucleotide ribosomal RNA is filed under the name uncultured bacterium. RNAcentral's name for it is "partial 16S ribosomal RNA". It matches the Rfam family "Bacterial small subunit ribosomal RNA", at positions 28 to 506 of the family's 1533-position model. The record is from RNAcentral.
GACGAACGCUGGCGGCGUGCUUAACACAUGCAAGUCGAACGGAAAGGCCCUGCUUUUGUGGGGUGCUCGAGUGGCGAACGGGUGAGUAACACGUGAGUAACCUGCCCUUGACUUUGGGAUAACUUCAGGAAACUGGGGCUAAUACCGGAUAGGAGCUCCUGCUGCAUGGUGGGGGUUGGAAAGUUUCGGCGGUUGGGGAUGGACUCGCGGCUUAUCAGCUUGUUGGUGGGGUAGUGGCUUACCAAGGCUUCGACGGGUAGCCGGUCUGAGAGGGUGACCGGCCACAGUGGGACUGAGAUACGGCCCAGACUCCUACGGGAGGCAGCAGUGGGGAAUUUUGCACAAUGGGCGGAGGCAUGAUGCAGCAACGCCGCGUGCGGGAUGACGGCUUUCGGGUUGUAAACCACUUUCGCCUGUGACGAAGCGUGAGGGAGGGAAAUGGGAAAAGAAGCACCGGCUAACUAGGG